GCGGAUGUGGUGGAAUUGGUAGACACGCUAUCUUGAGGGGGUAGUGUCGUAAGACGUGUGGGUUCGAGUCCCACCAUCCGCACCA
Molecule: transfer RNA, 85 nt
Filed under: Halothiobacillaceae bacterium
Lineage: Bacteria; Pseudomonadati; Pseudomonadota; Gammaproteobacteria; Chromatiales; Halothiobacillaceae
Description: tRNA-Leu
Rfam family: tRNA
About the family: Transfer RNA (tRNA) molecules are approximately 80 nucleotides in length.
Source: RNAcentral